RNAcentral lists this unclassified non-coding RNA (3326 nucleotides) under Hevea brasiliensis (rubber tree). The record is from RNAcentral. Lineage: Eukaryota; Viridiplantae; Streptophyta; Magnoliopsida; Malpighiales; Euphorbiaceae.
CUCCUCGCCUCUCCUUCUGGCCAUGAUUCCACAAUCUCAGGUGUAUUAUAGCUCGCCAUCGUUGAAAAUCAAAUAGCCAGCCAGCAGCCCCGCCUUUGACUCCAUUCAUUACCUACUCUGCCUCUGCAGCUUUCAAUCACCGGAAACAACUGCUUUUGCCUCCAAAAAUGGCCUCUCUCCACCUCAACUUCCCCUCUUCUUCUCCUCCUUCACCACUCCUCCGUUCUCCUCUUCCUUCUAAACUCAAAACAUCCCUCCUUUAUCUUCCUCUUUUUAGUCCUACUGCCUCUAGGUCUCUCUCUCUCCGCUUCCGCUCCAAUCAUCGCCGCCCCGGCCGCUCUUUUCAUCUGGUUUCUGCCGCCCUCUCAGCUGUUGACUCGCCAGAGACUACCAGUUCUGACGGCAGUGAUUCUGAGAAGAAACCGCUGCUUGAGGUUAAAAAUUUAACGGCAGUCAUUGCUGAAACCAAUCAGGAGAUUCUUAAGGGAGUAAAUCUUGUUGUCCAUGAAGGAGAGGUUCAUGCGGUUAUGGGAAAGAACGGUUCUGGGAAGAGCACAUUUUCUAAGGUGCUGGUUGGUCAUCCAGAUUAUGAAGUGACUGGAGGCAGCGUUAUGUUUAAAGGGGAGAACUUGCUUGACAUGGAACCAGAGGAAAGGUCUCUUGCUGGGCUUUUUAUGAGCUUCCAAUCGCCAGUUGAGAUCCCAGGAGUGAACAAUAUUGACUUUCUUAAUAUGGCAUACAAUGCUCGCAGAAGAAAACUUGCUCUGCCAGAGCUUGGACCAAUUGAGUUCUAUGCUUACCUGUUUCCGAAACUUGAGCUAGUGAACAUGAAGAGUGACUUUCUUAACAGAAAUGUAAAUGAAGGAUUUAGUGGUGGUGAAAGGAAGCGCAAUGAGAUUUUGCAACUUGCGGUUCUGGGUGCAGACUUGGCAAUGUUAGAUGAAAUUGAUUCUGGCUUGGAUAUCGAUGCACUCAAAGAUGUUGCAAAAGCAGUGAAUGGGAUCUUGACUCCAAAGAACUCUGUUUUGAUGAUUACCCAUUAUCUACGACUUUUGGAAUUCAUUCAGCCUACAUAUAUCCAUAUCAUGGAGGAUGGGAGAAUUGUAAAGACGGGGGAUAUCUCUAUUGCAAAGGUUCUUGAAAAAGAAGGCUACAAAGCAAUCUCCCCCUCUUAACUGCAGGACAAUUAUAAUAGGUAGUCUCUUGUCUCACUCUUGCUGGUGAAACUUGCUUUGCUCUUAUUAACUUCACUUAGUGAAACUCUAUAACCUUUGCUGUUUUGUUGUCGGGUCAAGUAUGAUCCAUUGAUUUGAAUAGCAAUUGAGGCUAGAAAUUUCUAUAUUGUUUACUGGCCAAUAUUAGAUUGUAUGCCUAUUAUUUUGGUUUUACUGUUGAAGGGACCAUGAAGCAUUUUGUUUACUUUGACAUGCAAGAGUCCAUUUGUGUUUCCUUUCGGUUGCUAUUUUGUAUUUGAGCUUCUUCUUGUUUAUAUUCUAGUUGCUUCAAAUGUAAUAAUGUUACUUGGACUGUGGGAUAAAUAUCAAAUAUAGAUGUAGGCAAUUUUCAAAUGCCGGAAUCAGCCAUUCUGGGAGAUUCAUAGAUUUCCUCUGUUUAGAAGUGCGAAAAUGUCAUAUACCCGUUUUGAAGUGUCUUUAUUUUACACUUGUUUCAUUUAUGGCAAUAUACAGUUUGUAAUGGUUUAAGGGUGUGAAGGAUGUAGAUGAAUAAUCUUUAGGUUAGACGAGGAUAAAGUUAUGUCCUUGUUUUGUAGCAUGGUUAACUGCUUUUGGUAUUUUGGCUUAUUCUUAGAAAUGUGAACAAGCACAAUUUAGGGCAAGCUUUCUUUUUAUUUAAUUCUUUGUUUAGGUGCUUCUCUUGCAUACAUGCUUUGUAUUCAGUACUGCUACCCUUAUGAGUGUUCUUAAUAGAAUAUAACUUGUAUUCAGUACUGCUACCCUUAUGAGUGUUCUUAAUAGAAUAUAACUUAAAAAAAAGCUUGAUGGUGGCAUAUGGUUUGCAAAAUAGGGUAGUGAUUGCAAGACUUACGCAAAAUGGGUUUCUGCUUUCUCUGCUUCGUAGUCUUAAUCUUGAUAUUGCUUCCUUUUCAUUCUAACAAUGAACAGAAAAUGGCGGUGGUGUUGACUUUACAGUGUGUGAAGACAGUACACAAGGGACAGUACUGGCUAUUAUAAUCCAUAUCCUUUAUUGCUAGAAAAUACCUAAGGUAUGCCUGCUCAAGGAUGUUGAUUUAGAUUUUAAAUUGGAUGUUUCAAAAUUUACAAGGAAGAAGAGGGAAUAGGAAAAAAAGAGAAAAAAAAGGGGGAAGGCGAAAGUAGGGGUAGAGAUAAAGAAGAAUACUUUUUUAAUGGAAUAUAAUAGAAAUGGCAUUGUUUAUUUUGAUUCUCUCUCAUCUCAUGUAAACUUUUUAGUAGCAUGAUUCUUUAAAUUAGUAUAUUUGAUCUGGUUAUACAUGAGAUAUCAUGCGACUCAAGAAAAGUGGGCAAAUUUUGUUUUUGAACAAUUCAUAUAAAUCCCUAGGAAAAGGUCUGUGACCAGGUUAGCCCCUAAUAUAUAAGAAAACAUUAAAAGUUUUCAAUUAGUAUUAUGUUCUUGCUAAGCUAGGAUGGCUUUAGGUAAUAUAGUGCUCCUGUAGCUGUAUAAACUAUUCUAUUCUAUUUUAAGUAAAGCAAAUUACUUGUGAUCACUAGUAAAUAUAUGAGGCUAUGAGUUGAGUUUACAGCCCUUCAUUCUUCCAUCUUGUUAUAGGACUUGGAACCUUACAACAAAUUUGAUUUAGUAUCGGGGGACGGGGAUUGUAGUUGAUGAAAUUCAAAAUGACACCUACUUUUAUAUAGCCUCAUCUUUACCACUAGGCUCCGACACCGGUUUGAAACAAUUUGUUAGUUGGUCCAAAAGAGCAUAUAAAAUAUGUAUGUAAAAGGGGUAAUCUUUCUAUGAUGGUAGAUGAACCUCAGAUGUUUUUAUUGCCUCAUUCUCGCAGAUUCAUUUGCUUCACAGGGCAGGAAAGAUGUGCGUGUUUUGUUUUUCCUUGAAGAAAAAUUACUAUGGAUUCUUCUCAGUUGAGAAUGAUCCUGACUUUAAUACUUUAGGCAUUUUUCGCCUUUUCUUUCUGAUGAUUUUGAAGUGAUUUAUCUUCUUUCUGUAAUACAACAAGAAGCAAAAGAGACUUCCUGGUGGUUCUUUCAAAUUCAUGUAGUUUUCUGGAAAUUUUACGAUUAUAAUGUAGCUACGACAUUCCUUUAAAAAGAUUUGUUAUGAAAUAUUGAAGGCCAAAAAUUGCACAAUGACUUUACUUCAAGAGUAAA